GGCUAGAUGGCAGAACGGUAAAUGCAAAAGAUUGCAAAUCUUUAUAUAUUGGUUCGAUUCCAAUUCUAGCUU
Molecule: transfer RNA, 72 nt
Filed under: Pterocladiella musciformis
Lineage: Eukaryota; Rhodophyta; Florideophyceae; Gelidiales; Pterocladiaceae
Description: tRNA-Cys
Rfam family: tRNA
About the family: Transfer RNA (tRNA) molecules are approximately 80 nucleotides in length. Their secondary structure includes four short double-helical elements and three loops (D, anti-codon, and T loops).
Source: RNAcentral